CCUACGGGGGGCAGCAGUGGGGAAUAUUGCACAAUGGGCGCAAGCCUGAUGCAGCCAUGCCGCGUGUGUGAAGAAGGCCUUCGGGUUGUAAAGCACUUUCAGCGGGGGGGAAGGCGUUAAGGUUAAUAACCUUGUCGAUUGACGUUACCCGCAGAAGAAGCACCGGCUAACUCCGUGCCAGCAGCCGCGGUAAUACGGAGGGUGCAAGCGUUAAUCGGAAUUACUGGGCGUAAAGCGCACGCAGGCGGUCUGUCAAGUCGGAUGUGAAAUCCCCGGGCUCAACCUGGGAACUGCAUUCGAAACUGGCAGGCUAGAGUCUUGUAGAGGGGGGUAGGAUUCCAGGUGUAGCGGUGAAAUGCGUAGAGAUCUGGAGGAAUACCGGUGGCGAAGGCGGCCCCCUGGACAAAGACUGACGCUCAGGUGCGAAAGCGUGGGGAGCAAACAGGAUUAGAUACCCGAGUAGUC
Molecule: ribosomal RNA, 465 nt
Filed under: uncultured Klebsiella sp.
Lineage: Bacteria; Pseudomonadati; Pseudomonadota; Gammaproteobacteria; Enterobacterales; Enterobacteriaceae
Description: bacterial SSU rRNA
Rfam family: Bacterial small subunit ribosomal RNA
Source: RNAcentral